RNAcentral lists this ribosomal RNA (486 nucleotides) under uncultured bacterium. RNAcentral describes it as "partial 16S ribosomal RNA". It matches the Rfam family "Bacterial small subunit ribosomal RNA", at positions 28 to 507 of the family's 1533-position model. The record is from RNAcentral.
GAUGAACGCUGGCGGCGUGCCUAAUACAUGCAAGUCGAACGCUGGAAAUCUAGCUUGCUAGAUUGAAGGAGUGGCGAACGGGUGAGUAAUACAUAAGCAACCUACCCACGAAGACUGGGAUAAUCUCUGGAAACGGGGACUAAUACCGGAUAGGUAAUCGGAAGGCAUCUUCUGAUUAUUAAAGGUUAAAAACACUGGUGGAUGGGCUUAUGGCGCAUUAGUUAGUUGGUGAGGUAACGGCCCACCAAGACGAUGAUGCGUAGCCGGCCUGAGAGGGUGAACGGCUACAUUGGGACUGAGACACGGCCCAGACUCCUACGGGAGGCAGCAGUAGGGAAUUUUCGGCAAUGGGGGAAACCCUGACCGAGCAACGCCGCGUGAGUGAUGACGGCCUUCGGGUUGUAAAGCUCUGUUGUAAGGGAAGAACGGUAGAUAGAGAAUAUCUAAAUGACGGUACCUUACCAGAAAGCCACGGCUAACUACGUG